UUCUUGAAUAAAAAAUCAAUU
Molecule: non-coding RNA, 21 nt
Filed under: Caenorhabditis elegans
Lineage: Eukaryota; Metazoa; Nematoda; Chromadorea; Rhabditida; Rhabditidae
Source: RNAcentral